AAAGAUUUAGUAUAGGAGUAUAAAUUAUUGUCAAUAAUUAGGGUAAAUCUUUG
Molecule: transfer RNA, 53 nt
Filed under: Angiostrongylus cantonensis (rat lungworm)
Lineage: Eukaryota; Metazoa; Nematoda; Chromadorea; Rhabditida; Metastrongylidae
Description: tRNA-Asp
Source: RNAcentral